RNAcentral lists this ribosomal RNA (419 nucleotides) under uncultured Gemmatimonadaceae bacterium. RNAcentral describes it as "bacterial SSU rRNA". It matches the Rfam family "Bacterial small subunit ribosomal RNA", at positions 353 to 772 of the family's 1533-position model. The record is from RNAcentral. Lineage: Bacteria; Pseudomonadati; Gemmatimonadota; Gemmatimonadia; Gemmatimonadales; Gemmatimonadaceae.
AGUGGGGAAUCUUGCGCAAUGGCCGAAAGGCUGACGCAGCGACGCCGCGUGGGGGAGGAAGGGCUUCGGCUCGUAAACCCCUGUUGCUCGGGACGAAAGCGGGACCUGGUCUCGCCUGACGGUACCGAGUGAGGAAGCACCGGCUAACUCCGUGCCAGCAGCCGCGGUAAUACGGAGGGUGCGAGCGUUGUCCGGAAUCACUGGGCGUAAAGGGCGCGUAGGCGGCUCGGUAAGCGUGUGGUGAAAGCCCGGGGCUCAACCCCGGGUCGGCCGUGCGAACUGCUGAGCUUGAGCACAGUAGGGGCGGGUGGAAUUCCGGGUGUAGCGGUGGAAUGCGUAGAGAUCCGGAAGAACACCAGUGGCGAAGGCGGCCCGCUGGGCUGUGGCUGACGCUGAGGCGCGACAGCGUGGGGAGCAAA